UGCAGUCGAACGGUAACAGGCCGCAAGGUGCUGACGAGUGGCGAACGGCUGAGUAAUGCAUCGGAACGUGCCCAGUCGUGGGGGAUAACGCAGCGAAAGCUGCGCUAAUACCGCAUACGAUCUAUGGAUGAAAGCGGGGGACCGUAAGGCCUCGCGCGAUUGGAGCGGCCGAUGUCAGAUUAGGUAGUUGGUGUGGUAAAGGCUCACCAAGCCAACGAUCUGUAGCUGGUCUGAGAGGACGACCAGCCACACUGGAACUGAGACACGGUCCAGACUCCUACGGGAGGCAGCAGUGGGGAAUUUUGGACAAUGGGCGCAAGCCUGAUCCAGCAAUGCCGCGUGCAGGAAGAAGGCCUUCGGGUUGUAAACUGCUUUUGUACGGAACGAAACGGUCUGAGUUAAUACCUCGGGCUAAUGACGGUACCGUAAGAAUAAGCACCGGCUAACUACGUGCCAGCAGCCGCGGUAAUACGUAGGGUGCAAGCGUUAAUCGGAAUUACUGGGCGUAAAGCGUGCGCAGGCGGUGAUGUAAGACAGUCGUGAAAUCCCCGGGCUCAACCUGGGAAUUGCGAUUGUGACUGCAUCGCUGGAGUGCGGCAGAGGGGGAUGGAAUUCCGCGUGUAGCAGUGAAAUGCGUAGAUAUGCGGAGGAACACCGAUGGCGAAGGCAAUCCCCUGGGCCUGCACUGACGCUCAUGCACGAAAGCGUGGGGAGCAAACAGGAUUAGAUACCCUGGUAGUCCACGCCCUAAACGAUGUCAACUGGUUGUUGGGUCUCUUCUGACUCAGUAACGAAGCUAACGCGUGAAGUUGACCGCCUGGGGAGUACGGCCGCAAGGUUGAAUCUCAAAGGAAUUGACGGGGACCCGCACAAGCGGUGGAUGAUGUGGUUUAAUUCGAUG
This 901-nucleotide ribosomal RNA is filed under the name uncultured Comamonadaceae bacterium. RNAcentral's name for it is "bacterial SSU rRNA". It matches the Rfam family "Bacterial small subunit ribosomal RNA", at positions 56 to 956 of the family's 1533-position model. The record is from RNAcentral. Lineage: Bacteria; Pseudomonadati; Pseudomonadota; Betaproteobacteria; Burkholderiales; Comamonadaceae.